AGAGUUUGAUCCUGGCUCAGGACGAACGCUGGCGGCGUGCCUAAUACAUGCAAGUCGAGCGGACCGGGCGGGAGCUUGCUUCCGCUUGGUUAGCGGCGGACGGGUGAGUAACACGUGGGUAACCUGCCCGUAAGACCGGGAUAACUCCGGGAAACCGGGGCUAAUACCGGAUAACACCGAAGACCGCAUGGUCUUCGGUUGAAAGGCGGCUUCGGCUGCCACUUACGGAUGGGCCCGCGGCGCAUUAGCUAGUUGGUGAGGUAACGGCUCACCAAGGCGACGAUGCGUAGCCGGCCUGAGAGGGUGACCGGCCACACUGGGACUGAGACACGGCCCAGACUCCUACGGGAGGCAGCAGUAGGGAAUCUUCCGCAAUGGACGAAAGUCUGACGGAGCGACGCCGCGUGAGCGAAGAAGGU
This 419-nucleotide ribosomal RNA is filed under the name Parageobacillus thermoglucosidasius TNO-09.020. RNAcentral describes it as "bacterial SSU rRNA". It matches the Rfam family "Bacterial small subunit ribosomal RNA", at positions 8 to 415 of the family's 1533-position model. The record is from RNAcentral. Lineage: Bacteria; Bacillati; Bacillota; Bacilli; Caryophanales; Anoxybacillaceae.